GUGUCAGCAGCCGCGGUAAUACGUAGGAGGCGAGCGUUAUCCGGAUUUACUGGGCGUAAAGCGCGCGCAGGCGGCUUCGUAAGUCGGAUGUGAAAGCCCCUGGCUCAACUGGGGGAGGCCAUUCGAUACUGCGAGGCUUGAGGUCGGGAGAGGGGUGUGGAAUUCCCGGUGUAGUGGUGGAAUGCGUAGAUAUCGGGAGGAACACCAGUGGCGAAGGCGGCACCCUGGCCCGCACCUGACGCUCAGGCGGGAAAGCGGGGGGAGCGAACGGGAUUAGAUACCCCGGUAGUCCACGCCGUAAACGAUGGCGACUAGGUGUUGGUGGCGUCAAACCCAUCAGUGCCGAAGCUAACGCGUUAAGUCGCCCGCCUGGGGACUACGGCCGCAAGGCUAAAACUUAAAGGAAUUGACGGGG
RNAcentral lists this ribosomal RNA (415 nucleotides) under uncultured prokaryote. Its description in RNAcentral is "bacterial SSU rRNA". It matches the Rfam family "Bacterial small subunit ribosomal RNA", at positions 505 to 918 of the family's 1533-position model. The record is from RNAcentral.